GAUGAACGCUGGCGGCGUGCCUAACACAUGCAAGUCGAGCGAACGGACGAGAAGCUUGCUUUUCUGAUGUUAGCGGCGGGCGUGUGAGUAACACGUGGAUAACCUACCUAUAAGACUGGGAUAACCUCGGGAAUCGGGAUCUAAUACCAGAUAAUAUUCUGAAUCGCAUGGUUCAAAAGCAAAAUACUGUCUUGCUGUCAUUUAUAGCUGGAUCUGCGCCGCAUUAGCUAGUUGUUAAUGUAAGGGCUUACAAAGGCAACGAUGCAUAUCCGACCUGAGAGGCUGAUAGGCCACACUGGAACUGAGACGCGGUCCAGACUACUAGGGGAGGGAGAAGUCGGGAAUCUCCCGCAGUGGGAGAAAGCCGGACGGAGCAACGACGCGUGAGAGAUGGAGGUCUUGGGAUCGUGAAACUCUGUUAUUCGGGAGAAACAUAUGUGUAAGUAAAUGUGAAGAUAUUGACGGUACCAAAUCAAAAAGCCACGGCUAACUACGUG
RNAcentral lists this ribosomal RNA (497 nucleotides) under uncultured bacterium. RNAcentral's name for it is "partial 16S ribosomal RNA". It matches the Rfam family "Bacterial small subunit ribosomal RNA", at positions 28 to 507 of the family's 1533-position model. The record is from RNAcentral.